UUUAAUAUCCAUGCAGUUUUUUCAUUGCAAAAGCAUAUAAGCGCAUCCUUCACUAUAAAAUGAAGGGAAAAGGCUGUAUGUUUUGGCUCUAGGGAGCGCAAACCUAGAAGGUGGGCGCUUAAAAACCAAACACAUUGUUAGCCUUCAGCACAAUAAUCAAAUCAACACUGUCCAACGCUUCAGUUUGCUGCCCACAAAAAGAUCAUAUAGACCAGUAUCGUGGCAGCCGGUGCUCUCUGCUCGCAAUCUGCGUUACCAUAAGACAGAAAAAGUACAUCGGAACGGGAGGCUCUGGAAACGAUUCCGGUGGCUCACAAGUCACAUCUGUGCCUGCUGGCCAAGGAGAAAAGGCUCAUUGUUGCGGACGGACUCUCUCGUGAAUUACCUCUGCCACGCCGAGCGGUCUCCCACGGAUGUAGGUCGUCUACAGUAGGGGAUCUCAAUUGGUCUCCCACACGAGUGGGUGCCCCUUUGGAAGAUCCAGUCACACUGUCUCUAGAUGGGCACCGUGCGUACAGUGCCACUUGUGCUUGUGCAAGCAUUGAGCUUUUGAUCAAAAAAUAUUACUAGCUAUGACUCGAUGGUUCUGAUCAAA
This is a non-coding RNA of Oryza sativa Japonica Group (Japanese rice), 595 nucleotides long. NCBI's taxonomy places the organism in Eukaryota, Viridiplantae, Streptophyta, Magnoliopsida, Poales, Poaceae. The record is from RefSeq and is a predicted model, not a curated record.